GACGAACGCUGGCGGCGUGCUUAACACAUGCAAGUCGAGCGGUAAGGCCCUUUCGGGGGUACACGAGCGGCGAACGGGUGAGUAACACGUGGGUGACCUGCCCUCAGCUCUGGGAUAAGCCUGGGAAACCGGGUCUAAUACCGGAUAUGACUCCAUGACGCAUGUUGUGGGGUGGAAAGCCUUGGGCGGCUGAGGAUGGGCCCGNGGCCUAUCAGCUUGUUGGUGGGGUGAUGGCCACCAAGGCGACGACGGGUAGCCGGCCUGAGAGGGCGACCGGCCACACUGGGGACUGAGACACGGCCCAGACUCCUACGGGA
This 317-nucleotide ribosomal RNA is filed under the name uncultured bacterium. Its description in RNAcentral is "bacterial SSU rRNA". It matches the Rfam family "Bacterial small subunit ribosomal RNA", at positions 28 to 346 of the family's 1533-position model. The record is from RNAcentral.